Molecule: microRNA, 23 nt
Filed under: Cordylochernes scorpioides
Lineage: Eukaryota; Metazoa; Arthropoda; Arachnida; Pseudoscorpiones; Chernetidae
Source: RNAcentral
AUGAUUCCCAGCGCACUGACGCA